RNAcentral lists this transfer RNA (71 nucleotides) under Marmota monax (woodchuck). RNAcentral's name for it is "tRNA.Ala". Lineage: Eukaryota; Metazoa; Chordata; Mammalia; Rodentia; Sciuridae. The record is from RNAcentral.
GGGGUUGUGGCUCAGGGGUAGAGUGCUCACCUAGCAAGUGCGGGAUGCUGGGUUCGAUCCUCAGCGCCACA